GGGACAGAGCCAGGGGACAGAGCUAGGGGACAGAGUUAUCGGACAAGGGGCCAGGGGACAGAGCUAGGGGACAGAGCUAGGGCACAAGGGGCUAGGGGACAGAGUUAUCGGACAAGGGGCUAGGGGACAGAGCUAGGGGACAGAGCUAGGGGACAGAGUUAUCGGACAAGGGGCUAGGGGACAAUACAUUUAUCAUUAUUACUGUUCUAGAACAUCUACUGUUCUAUAUCAUUAGUACUGUUCUAGAACACCUACUGUUCUAUAUCAUUAGUACUGUUCUAGAACACCUACUGUUCUUUAUCAUUAGUAGUGUUCUAGAACAUCUACUGUUCUAUAUCAUUA
Oncorhynchus tshawytscha (Chinook salmon) is the source of this 342-nucleotide long non-coding RNA. The record is from Ensembl. Lineage: Eukaryota; Metazoa; Chordata; Actinopteri; Salmoniformes; Salmonidae.